RNAcentral lists this ribosomal RNA (253 nucleotides) under uncultured bacterium. RNAcentral's name for it is "partial 16S ribosomal RNA". It matches the Rfam family "Bacterial small subunit ribosomal RNA", at positions 524 to 776 of the family's 1533-position model. The record is from RNAcentral.
UACGUAGGUGGCAAGCGUUAUCCGGAUUUAUUGGGUGUAAAGGGCGUGUAGGCGGGAGCGCAAGUCAGAUGUGAAAACUCAGGGCUCAACCCUGAGCCUGCAUUUGAAACUGUGUUUCUUGAGUGCUGGAGAGGCAAUCGGAAUUCCGUGUGCAGCGGUGAAAUGCGUAGAUAUACGGAGGAACACCAGUGGCGAAGGCGGAUUGCUGGACAGUAACUGACGCUGAGGCGCGAAAGCGUGGGGAGCAAACAGG